Molecule: long non-coding RNA, 1336 nt
Filed under: Anas platyrhynchos platyrhynchos (common mallard)
Lineage: Eukaryota; Metazoa; Chordata; Aves; Anseriformes; Anatidae
Description: lncRNA (ENSAPLG00000020010.1)
Source: RNAcentral
AUGCUUAGCAAUAAAGAUGCCAAAUAUGAAAUUGGAGAACAGCUCUGUCUGCAUGCUAAUAAGAUUCAAGAAAGUUGUUCAAUGUUUGAAAACAGUGUAUGGCCCCUGCCCCUGCCCACCCACCAUCUGACCCUUUCUGUAUUGACUCGGAGCAGCUCCAGGCUUGCAAACUGUGGAAAUACCAACUUGGAGAACAGCUGAACUCACGCAGGGUCUGAGCCCAUCACGUGGGUUUGAAUUCAGUCCUUGAGAUUUCCUCUUCUGGAGGUUUUAUGUGCUUGGAGUGGGGAUUAAGAUGUAACGAGACACAAAAGUGGUGCUGCUGUGUCGUCUGGCACCUUGCAAAAGCUUUGGUUGAAGGUUUCCUCUAUUGUUCUUGAUAUUGGCUUCAACAAUUGCUCAGAACAGCAUUUUUAUUACCCUUAGGAAGGUUGCUUACCUUGGUGUCUUUUUUCCUGACAUACUCUGGCACUUCCUCAUGCGUGCACUUGUCUCCUUUCCUGCUAACAGCUAUUACAGUGUCUAAGCUUUGCUGUGGAAAUGUUCUCUUUGUUGAAAAGGCUCUCGGAAAAACCUCACUGUCAGCUUUAACAUAUUAGCUCACGUUAGCGGAGCACGCAGAAGUUGAUUUUGCAUUAGAUGUUAUUAAAUAUUAACAUGUUUACACUGCAGUGUUAGCCUACAGUCAUACACAGCCCUGGAGGAUUCUUUAGCUGUCAUCUGAUUUUUCUAAGCAGACUCCCAGCCGAGGCUCGACGGCUUCCUUGUGGCUUCUCCCAGCACGGAUGCAGGUUCUGACUGCAAAUACUCACGGUCCAUUUCCAUGCUCUGUCAAGUGACUUUCUUCAAGCAAUGCUGCCGAUGCUUUGAGCAAAUUUGUGCAGAAACGAAGCAGGAGCCCUCCUCGGGCAGUAGGCAUCUCUCAGAGGAGCAGUUUAGGUAAGGUACGGUUUUACUACCAGGAUGAGCCUUGCAGGGAGCUUUUAGAAGAAGUCUGUGAGCAGGUAGCUCAUCCCACCUUGGGUCUGCUCCAGGGAAGGUUUUGGCAAACAAAGCUAUGCAGGAACUGGCUGGGUUCACAUUAAUCCCUCAGUCUGUCCUUGCGCAGGUGGCAGACCUCGAGUACUGGUGUGGAGAGAGUGGUGGGGCAGCGACACCUUUUGUGGGCCACAUCAAACAUGCUGUGGUUAUGCCCCUAAAUGUGUCAAACUGAAGCUGAAAAGGACAUAAAAGCAAAACUUCAGCUUGCCCAGUAACUGUGGCUUUUUUACAGAGCAGAUCUUGAAGUGAAUCUCCCGAUUUAUUUUCUGUGAAUAAAGUCACAAACACCACCUCA